RNAcentral lists this unclassified non-coding RNA (373 nucleotides) under Hevea brasiliensis (rubber tree). Lineage: Eukaryota; Viridiplantae; Streptophyta; Magnoliopsida; Malpighiales; Euphorbiaceae. The record is from RNAcentral.
AUUUGUAAUUUAAAUUUAAUUUUUAUGAAAGUUAAGUUAUUUUUUUUAUAUGACAGCUAAUUAAAAUUAUUCAAUUUGAAUUUCAUAACUCUAAACCCUAAAACUCACUAUGUAAAUGAGCUAAGCUACUCGUGAGAUGAUUGAGACUCAAUUCACUAAAAAGCUUGGCUUGGCAUGAAAUGAGCCAAGUUUGAGUUUAUGGAUAUUCGGCUCUAGCUCGAAAAAAUUUAGAUGAACGAAGCCUGGGCUCUUCACUGCUCAGCUCAGGUCAGUUCAUUUACACCCUUACUAAUAGCUUUGUUUAUUUUGCCACAAUUGUUUGGUUGCAAAUAAAAAUAUAAGUAGUGUUAUAUAAUGAUAAUUUUUAUUUUAA